UCGGGAAUUUUGGGCAAUGGGCGAAAGCCUGAUCCAGCCAUGCCGCGUGUGUGAAGAAGGUCUUCGGAUUGUAAAGCACUUUAAGUUGGGAGGAAGGGUUGUAGAUUAAUACUCUGCAAUUUUGACGUUACCGACAGAAUAAGCACCGGCUAACUCUGUGCCAGCAGCCGCGGUAAUACAGAGGGUGCAAGCGUUAAUCGGAAUUACUGGGCGUAAAGCGCGCGUAGGUGGUUUGUUAAGUUGGAUGUGAAAUCCCCGGGCUCAACCUGGGAACUGCAUUCAAAACUGACUGACUAGAGUAUGGUAGAGGGUGGUGGAAUUUCCUGUGUAGCGGUGAAAUGCGUAGAUAUAGGAAGGAACACCAGUGGCGAAGGCGACCACCUGGACUAAUACUGACACUGAGGUGCGAAAGCGUGGGGAGCAAACAGGAUUAGAUACCCGAGUAGUCCCUGAGCGGGCUGGCAAGGCGCAU
This 472-nucleotide ribosomal RNA is filed under the name uncultured bacterium. RNAcentral describes it as "bacterial SSU rRNA". It matches the Rfam family "Bacterial small subunit ribosomal RNA", at positions 355 to 825 of the family's 1533-position model. The record is from RNAcentral.